Molecule: long non-coding RNA, 1355 nt
Organism: Cyprinus carpio carpio
Lineage: Eukaryota; Metazoa; Chordata; Actinopteri; Cypriniformes; Cyprinidae
Source: Ensembl
AUAAUUAGUUAUUAUUAUUAAACUUUACGUUUUUAUUUUAUUUAAAUAAUAUUAUUAUUAACUAUUUUUUAUUUACUGUGUAUAGUUAUUGUUCAUUAUUUAAAAAAGAGUAAUGUAUCACUUAUGAAAAUGUAACAUAGUGACCAAAGUUUCUGCAAAAACUUGAUGGAUACGACUUUUUGUUUUUGUUACUACUGGAAUAUUGCAAUGAAUUAAUCUACUUCUUUCAGAAUCCUUCACUUGAAGUUUAUGACAGUGAGUUGCUGUAGGUUUAUGGUAGUAAUCAGAACUGUAGUGAGUUUUGGUGGAAGCUGUGGUUAUGGUGAGUUGUUUUAGGGGUUAACCAGCGUCCAGUCAGAACAUACGAUACGUGUCAUAUAAAGAAGUGCUGGUGACCCAGUGAUAUGAGACAGAAAGAGAAACUAAGCAACCAAAAUAUCCGUGUUAGUUGAUGGUGAGGGCAAAAACUCCUUUUUUGUUGUCGUUGUUUGAGUCAGAGCUGCAGGUCUGAGGCUUUGCUCUUCUUAUCAAAACUGCCGGUCCGAUGGAAUACAUUUAUCUGGCAAAUAUUAAAGAUGUCACUCCUGUGUGACCCUUCAUCCACACACUUACACUAGAAAUAAGAUCUCCCAGUCACAUGAAAGAUGUCAGACAUUUGAUAGAUAUCAAAAUACAUGAAUGAAACAUUUGUGUGGAAUGUUUGCUUGAGUUUAUCUGGUCAUAUUUACAUGCACAUGAACUUAUUGUGAAACUUAGGAAAGUAAUGUCCUGGGUCGAAAGAGGGCUUGUUGAUGUCAGCAGAAAGGAAAGUGAUUAUAUUCUGAUGGAAAAUUUUAAAACAUUUUUUGAGUCAUUUUCGCUGAUGAAUCAUUCACUAUACUGUGGAAGCCAAUUUCUGGCAUGUAAAAUUAAAAUCAUGCUGUGGAAAAUUAUAAUUAUGACAUAUAAAAUGAUUAUUUUUAAAUAAAAAGUCAAACUUGUCAAACUGAUGGUGACAAGCACAGAAUUAUUAGUUAGAAAGUCAUAAUUUAAUGCAUGAUUUUUGUUAUAGUUUACUUUUUAAAUCUCCUGAUUUAAACUUUGUCAUCAUUUCUGUUAUGUCAUAUUUUGACAUAUUAUUUUUAUUUAUUUUUUUUACAUAUUUUUUACUUGUGAUCAUGGUGACGUUCUUAUAAUUUUGACGCCAUUAUUUAUAAGGUUUUGCCAAUUUCAGGUUUUCAUAAUUUACUUUUUCAUCCUAUAAUUUUGAUGUUUUGCCAUUUUCAAUUCGUCAAUUUUGACUUUGUCAUAAUGACUUGGCAUCUCAUUUUUGACUUGUGAUCACUUUGACUUUUUGUCAUUUUUCCUAAGCCAUC